GGAACAGGCCUUUCAGGCAUCCUCUCCCAAACUUUUCAGGCCCGCUCGGCAACGAGCGGGCCAUUUUUUUGACUUGA
RNAcentral lists this small RNA (77 nucleotides) under Croceibacterium mercuriale. RNAcentral's name for it is "Porphyrobacter mercurialis Makes More Granules Regulator RNA (mmgR)". It matches the Rfam family "Makes More Granules Regulator RNA (mmgR)". Rfam says of the family: SuhB later renamed mmgR (makes more granules regulator) was a putative non-coding RNA found multiple times in the Agrobacterium tumefaciens genome and related alpha-proteobacteria. Lineage: Bacteria; Pseudomonadati; Pseudomonadota; Alphaproteobacteria; Sphingomonadales; Erythrobacteraceae. The record is from Rfam by way of RNAcentral.